This 500-nucleotide ribosomal RNA is filed under the name uncultured bacterium. Its description in RNAcentral is "bacterial SSU rRNA". It matches the Rfam family "Bacterial small subunit ribosomal RNA", at positions 903 to 1397 of the family's 1533-position model. The record is from RNAcentral.
AAAUGAAUUGACGGGGGCCCGCACAAGCAGCGGAGCAUGUGGUUUAAUUCGAAGCAACGCGAAAAACCUUACCAGGAAUUGACAUCCCGAUGAAUCGUAUAGAGAUAUGCGCGGAUUGGAAACAAUACAUCGGAGACAGGUGGUGCAUGGUUGUCGUCAGCUCGUGUCGUGAGAUGUUGGGUUAAGUCCCGCAACGAGCGCAACCCUUAUUGUUAGUUACCAGCGGAUAAUGCCGGGGACUCUAACGAGACUGCCGUGGAUAACACGGAGGAAGGUGGGGAUGACGUCAAAUCAUCAUGCCCCUUACGUUCUGGGCUACACACGUGCUACAAUGGUCCAUAACAAAGAGACGCGAAGCCGCAAGGUGAAGCAAACCUCAUAAACUGGAUCUCAGUUCGGAUUGUGGGCUGCAACCCGCCCACAUGAAGCCGGAGUUGCUAGUAAUCGCGAAUCAGCAUGUCGCGGUGAAUGCGUUCCCGGGCCUUGUACACACCGCCCGU